Molecule: long non-coding RNA, 202 nt
Filed under: Setaria italica (foxtail millet)
Lineage: Eukaryota; Viridiplantae; Streptophyta; Magnoliopsida; Poales; Poaceae
Description: long non-coding RNA (SITA_LNC005725)
Source: RNAcentral
ACGUAUAGUAGUACCGCGGCCUUUUUAAUUUGUUAACCUUGUAGUUGAGAUUUUUUUAGAACGAAAUCAACUAGUAUUUAAACGAAUGGGAUUUGUAAUUAUACAAUUACUAUAUAUAUACACAAUCCUUAUACACAAUUCAUAUACACAAUUCAACUAGCUUAAUUAGUACAAAUCGAUCAUAUAUACAAAUAAAUCAAAG